Long non-coding RNA from Motacilla alba alba, 370 nucleotides. RefSeq lists it as uncharacterized. NCBI's taxonomy places the organism in Eukaryota, Metazoa, Chordata, Aves, Passeriformes, Motacillidae. The transcript is spliced from 2 exons. The record is from RefSeq and is a predicted model, not a curated record.
UCAGUCUUGACAGUGACUUUGCCCGAUUCCCUGCUCGUGAUUGUCCCUUUCACAAAGGACUCCUUUGCAUGUACCACGAAGACAGAUGUCUUGGCAUCAAAAGGGCUGGAUUCCACCAAUGCUGGAAGCAAAACACAGCCCAGCUGAGCGAGACAGGACAGAAUGAAGGAUGUGUAUGGGAACAGUCUGUUCUGCCCAGAAAUGCAGCUUGGGCAAAGCACUGGAGUGCUGAUAUUCUCCGUGGAGGAAAGGGGAUUCAGGCAUCCUGAAGACAGGCUCUUGAUGAGAAGAAGAUCACAGAAUGACAGAACCUGGUCCAACUCCUCCUGGACAGGGGAGUUUCUUUAAUAAAUAAGAAUAUCUGUAUCCA